AAGUGCGAUAUUUAGUGCGAUUUGCAUGAAUCUGUGAGUCAUCGAGUCUUUGAACGCAACUUGCGCCUGUAAGGGCAUGUCUGUUUGAGUACCUAUAAAUCAAAUGCAGUAAUGCGAUUUUGCUAGUUCCAACUUUUUCUUUCAUAUGAUUGAGAAAAUGGUCUAGUUAAAUAUAGAUUUAUAUACAAAGAUUGAGAGUUAUAACUCUCUUGAAGUUAAAGACGAAAGUCUUGUUCAAGAGAAUAUAACAUUCAAUCUUAUAUCUAUUUUGGUCUCAAAUCAGGCAAGAUUACCCGCUGAACUUAA
RNAcentral lists this unclassified non-coding RNA (306 nucleotides) under uncultured fungus. RNAcentral describes it as "sequence contains ITS1". The stretch from base 1 to 94 matches the Rfam family "5.8S ribosomal RNA", at positions 51 to 154 of the family's 154-position model. The record is from RNAcentral. Lineage: Eukaryota; Fungi.